Molecule: transfer RNA, 85 nt
Filed under: Oscillospiraceae bacterium
Lineage: Bacteria; Bacillati; Bacillota; Clostridia; Eubacteriales; Oscillospiraceae
Description: tRNA-Tyr
Rfam family: tRNA
About the family: Transfer RNA (tRNA) molecules are approximately 80 nucleotides in length. Their secondary structure includes four short double-helical elements and three loops (D, anti-codon, and T loops).
Source: RNAcentral
CGGGGUGUCGCAUAGCAGCAAUUGCAGCGGACUGUAAAUCCGCCGCCUUCGGGCUACGUUGGUGCGAGUCCAACCACCCCGACCA